This 502-nucleotide ribosomal RNA is filed under the name uncultured bacterium. RNAcentral describes it as "bacterial SSU rRNA". It matches the Rfam family "Bacterial small subunit ribosomal RNA", at positions 30 to 507 of the family's 1533-position model. The record is from RNAcentral.
CGAACGCUGGCGGCGUGCUUAACACAUGCAAGUCGAACGGAGUAUUGUGAUUUAUCAUGGUACUUAGUGGCGAACGGGUGAGUAACGCGUAGACAACCUGCCUCUUAGAUGGGGACAACAUCGCGAAAGCGGUGCUAAUACCGAAUGAAGUGGAGCUUCCGCAUGGGAGCAUCACCAAAGGUGGCCUCUAUUUAUAAGCUACCACUGAGAGAUGGGUCUGCGUCUGAUUAGCUAGUUGGUGGGGUAAUGGCCCACCAAGGCGACGAUCAGUAGCCGGUCUGAGAGGAUGAACGGCCACAUUGGGACUGAGACACGGCCCAAACUCCUACGGGAGGCAGCAGUGGGGAAUCUUCCGCAAUGGACGAAAGUCUGACGGAGCAACGCCGCGUGAGUGAAGAAGGUUUUCGGAUCGUAAAGCUCUGUUGUUUGAGACGAAUGUGCAGACUUUGAAUAAGGGUUUGUAAUGACGGUAUUAAACGAGAAAGCCACGGCUAACUACGUG